This 754-nucleotide ribosomal RNA is filed under the name uncultured Bulleidia sp. RNAcentral's name for it is "bacterial SSU rRNA". It matches the Rfam family "Bacterial small subunit ribosomal RNA", at positions 28 to 776 of the family's 1533-position model. Lineage: Bacteria; Bacillati; Bacillota; Erysipelotrichia; Erysipelotrichales; Erysipelotrichaceae. The record is from RNAcentral.
GAUGAACGCUGGCGGCGUGCCUAAUACAUGCAAGUCGAACGCUGGAGAUCUAGCUUGCUAGAUCGAAGGAGUGGCGAACGGGUGAGUAAUACAUAAGCAACCUACCCACGAAGACUGGGAUAAUCUCUGGAAACGGGGACUAAUACCGGAUAGGUAAUCGGAAGGCAUCUUCUGGUUAUUAAAGGUUAAAAACACUGGUGGAUGGGCUUAUGGCGCAUUAGUUAGUUGGUGAGGUAACGGCCCACCAAGACGAUGAUGCGUAGCCGGCCUGAGAGGGUGAACGGCCACAUUGGGACUGAGACACGGCCCAGACUCCUACGGGAGGCAGCAGUAGGGAAUUUUCGGCAAUGGGGGCAACCCUGACCGAGCAACGCCGCGUGAGUGAAGACGGCCUUUGGGUUGUAAAGCUCUGUUGUAAGGGAAGAACGGUAGAUAGAGAAUAUCUAAGUGACGGUACCUUACCAGAAAGCCACGGCUAACUACGUGCCAGCAGCCGCGGUAAUACGUAGGUGGCGAGCGUUAUCCGGAAUUAUUGGGCGUAAAGGGUGCGUAGGCGGCCUGUUAAGUAAGUGGUUAAAUUGUUGGGCUCAACCCAAUCCAGCCACUUAAACUGGCAGGCUAGAGUAUUGGAGAGGCAAGUGGAAUUCCAUGUGUAGCGGUAAAAUGCGUAGAUAUAUGGAGGAACACCAGUGGCGAAGGCGGCUUGCUAGCCAAAGACUGACGCUCAUGCACGAAAGCGUGGGGAGCAAAUAGG